This is a non-coding RNA of Peromyscus maniculatus bairdii (prairie deer mouse), 2067 nucleotides long. The record is from RefSeq and is a predicted model, not a curated record. Lineage: Eukaryota; Metazoa; Chordata; Mammalia; Rodentia; Cricetidae.
CUGUGUUGAGGCACCGGCCCUUCUGGCAGAGAGCAGGUCCGAACAGGGCGCACUCGUCGGCAUCUGAAGCGGGGCAGAGUGAGGCGGGAGAAAGAAGGGAAACAGAGUCAGACGCUCUACGUCCAGCUGUUUGAGACUAGCUUUUGGAAUAAGGCACGCACCAAGGAGCCCAGUGCCGGAAACUCUCCAGUGAGGAUAUGAGCUCCCCAAAGUUUCUGCUUUGGUGGGUGACACCAUAGCUACUGCCCUCACCGGUGUGGCAGAGCGGCACCCUCAAUCGGUCCCUGUGUCCAGUAUGUCGGAGCUCCGGUUCAGAUACUUCACAGAGUCCUUGUCAGACUGAAUGAAAGGCAAAGAGCUGAGAGAAGUGCCUGGCAGGAAACACGGAGGAAUGUUUGUUAGCGCCGCUCAGGCAUAAACCGACCGACAGAACCCAGGGAGCUUCCACCUCAGCCAUGCUUCCUAUCGCUCCAGCUCACAGUGGAGUCUCUGGCAGACCCGCCACAUGCACCCUCCUCUGCUCCCGUGGAGAUGCUGGCCUUCGGUACAGGGCGGACCCAGGAACCUUCCUGGCAACGACUCUCCGGGGAAUUCAGAAACAGCUGUCUGAACUCCUGAAAGCUCUGCUGCUAACAGCAGAAGGAACUGGAAGGCAGAGCGAAAAGUGGAAACCUGAUGGGAAAAAAUGGGGGACGCCAGAACCACCGCUUAAUAAACAGACAGUGCUGGUUUGCAGAGGAAAAUGGAAAUGGAGAAGUGGGUUCCUGGUAGCCAUGCAAAGACGUACCCCAGUGGGAAAAAGCAUCCUGGAAGAGCCAGAUGUCAGAACCAUCUACCCUUAACAAAGCCUCCUGGCAGCCACUGCCCACAGGACAAUGGCCAUGUACUUCAGCCUGGCACUGGAGUUACUUCACAGACUGGCUUCGCCUGCCUCCACUUCUGCUAACACCCUCUAGUCACCCCGACUUCACCGUAAUUCCCAGGACAUGCCACGCCUGCCCACCUGCUGGCCUAUGCAGAAAUGGUUGCCUUUCCCUGGACUACCAGCUCCAUCUACUCCUGCUGCUCCUCCUCAGGUGCCUGGUACCCUGCCUGUAAAGGUGUGGACCCUGGGAGGCAAACCAGGCUUUGGAGAUGGCGUGGCUUUGAAUCUGUGUCCAAUGCUGCUACACCUAGGUGUCGCGUCCGUGGGUGUUUCAGCUCACCUUUCGAAGCUUCAUUUGCUAAGGCAUAAAGUGGGAGUAAGGACUGCAAGGGCUGGAAUGAUGGGCUUUAUAUAAUAAAGUGCUUAGGGUGGCUCUGGAUAUAGUGAGUGCUCAUUCAAUGGGAGCUGUUAUUACUCUACCCCAGUUCAAGUGCCCCCUCACGGAAACCUUCCCUAGUUCUCUGCUAUUGUCAGCUGCUUGCUCAUCUAACUCGAUAGUGCUAUUAUUCUUGCUCGUGCAUCGACUGUCUUCGGACCUUUAGCACAGGGCCUGUACCUGGCCACUCAGUCCGGGCUGGAGUACUCACUGACCCGGUUCCCUCACGCUCCUGUUUUAAGCUGGCUUCUCUGUCUCCUUUCCUCACAUAAUGAAGUGAGGACUUGGAUGCCUCUGGAUUCUCAAGGCCAGAUCCUUGGAAUUGGACAUUGAGGAGAUUCUGCCAAUGGAAGGACUCAUGACUCCAUGGCCAUGCCCAGGGGUGGGGGCUGUGAUCAUGGCCAAGCCUCUGACUGGUGCUGGAAACGUGAGCCCCAAGGACAGGCAGUGCCAUUCUCCAGGUGAAAGUUUCCCAACUACUUCUGGAUCCCCAGGCACUGUGUGGAAAAUGCGUCCUUAUUUCUUCGUGAACUUAUUCAUAAAACCGUACAGGCGCGUUCUAUUUAUAAAAGGGUUUGCACCGUGUGCUGGCUGGUUUUAUGUCAACUUGACAUCAGCUAGAGUCAUCAGAGAGGAGGGAGCUGGAGCUGAGAAAACACCUCCAUAGGCUCGGACCGUAGGCAAGCCUGUAAGGCAUUUUUUUAAGUUAGUGAUUGAUAUAGAAGGGCACAGCCCAUUGUGAGUGGGGCCACCCUGGGCUGGUGGU